AGAAGGUUAUAAAGCUCUGGCUUCAGCUCUGAAAUUAAACCCUUCACACCUGAUAGAGCUGGAUCUCACAGGAAAUGAUCCUGGACAAUCAGGAGUGAAGGAGCUCAGUGAUUUACUACAGGAUGGACACUGUUCAUUAAAGACCAUCAGGUUUUUGAAAAGUCCUGCUGCAGAGGAAGCAUGUGAUUAUCUCACUGAAGUUCUGGGUUAAAAGUCCAUUAUUACUGACAGAACUGGAUCUGAGUGAAGAUAAAUUAGGAGCUCUAGACUGGGAGAAGCUCUCUGCUCUUUUGAUGGACUCUCAUAGCAAACUGGAGAAAAUUAAGCUGAAUAAUUGUAAGCUGACAGAGAAAGCUGUUCAGUUCUAGCUACUGUUCUCUCCUCUAAAACCAUCCUGAAAGAGAUGAACCUGAAAACAACAGUCGUCUGCUGGACUCAGGAGUCAAAGAGAUCUGUGAGGGACUGAAGAAUCCUGUCUGUGAGCUGAAGAUACUCAAACUUUCAGACUGCAGUAUCAACUGAAGAAAGUUAUAAAGCUCUGGGGUUCAGCUCUGAGAUCAAACCCUUCACACCUGAUAGAGCGGAUCUCCACAGGAAAUGAUCCUGGACAAUCAGGAGUGAAGGAGCUCAAUGAUU
This is a long non-coding RNA of Cyprinus carpio (common carp), 636 nucleotides long. RefSeq lists it as uncharacterized. The record is from RefSeq and is a predicted model, not a curated record. The transcript has 4 exons. Lineage: Eukaryota; Metazoa; Chordata; Actinopteri; Cypriniformes; Cyprinidae.